GAAAUUGCAACAAAGUAAUUAACUUAAACACGUCACAAUGUAACAUGAUUACUCUACAAAAUGUCACGGUCAUUAUGGAAUACCUCCAUUGCAAUUAUUCAUUCUGGGCAGUUAGCUCCAUAAAUGCCGGAAAGAUUUCCCUGAGUAAUCAAACGCUAGUGGUUGUACUGUGUAGUAUGCAGUAAGCAUUUGUUAAAGUUCUGCGAGUGAAAGUUAGUCACGGGGUUGAAGCCAUGGCUUCGGAUUGCAGAAGCAUACGGACCGGCCUGUUGAAUUUCAAAUUCCAAUUGGGCAACGACAAGGAAAAAUGGAGGUUUGGGUUCUAGAAGGAUUUGUGUUGCUCAUGCUUACUUAUAAAUCUGAUCAUAUUAGAGCGCGCCAAUCGAUAUUUAUCCAAUGGUUGAUAAACAAACCAACCUAUAUUAUGUAAUGACAACUAAAAUUUCCAUUGUCAAUUAGCAAAUCUAGCAUUAAUAAACAGAAAAAGAAUUGGGAAUGGAGUUGUACCUCUGAUUAGAUGGCGGCCGAGCAUCGGAUUCUUGGGAUUCCUUUAACCGAUUCACUGUGGUCAAUGAAGGAACAUUAUAGACAAAGCUAAACAAUUCCAUGUGAUCAAAUUUGGGUUCUGAAUUCUGAUUCAGAACUAAUGAAACUGGG
Molecule: long non-coding RNA, 657 nt
Filed under: Olea europaea subsp. europaea
Lineage: Eukaryota; Viridiplantae; Streptophyta; Magnoliopsida; Lamiales; Oleaceae
Source: RNAcentral